Molecule: non-coding RNA, 305 nt
Organism: Camellia sinensis
Lineage: Eukaryota; Viridiplantae; Streptophyta; Magnoliopsida; Ericales; Theaceae
Source: RefSeq, a predicted model, not a curated record
AUGCAAGGGAAACCUUUGCCUUCGGGUGUAAUCAAGUUUGACUAUUUGCAUAGGGCUCGCUUGUUACUUGAUCUUGUGAUAUACAAGCAUAAUUCAGCUGAUAUUGUUGCUGAUAUCGCGCAAUAUAAAGCUGAACUCAGAGCUAGGGGUGAAUUGAAAUGGAAGUAGAGGCUAUACGACUUUUGUGAUCCUGAAAGAAGAAAAGAUAGUGGAUAAGGUUGUGGGAGCGAACAAAGACGACUUUGAUUUUAAUUGAUGUAUUUAAAAUUUGAACAUGAAUUGUUUCUAUUCUUGGGUAUGCAAUG